GGACUUCCCCUUCGGGGGCAGAGUGACAGGUGGUGCAUGGUUGUCGUCAGCUGGGUCGAGAGAUGUUGGGUUAAGUCCCGCAACGAGCGCAACCCUUGAUCUUAGUUGCCAGCAUUCAGUUGGGCACUCUAAGGUGACUGCCGGUGACAAACCGGAGGAAGGUGGGGAUGACGUCAAAUCAUCAUGCCCCUUAUGACCUGGGCUACACACGUGCUACAAUGGACAGAACAAAGGGCAGCGAAACCGCGAGGUUAAGCCAAUCCCACAAAUCUGUUCUCAGUUCGGAUCGCAGUCUGCAACUCGACUGCGUGAAGCUGGAAUCGCUAGUAAUCGCGGAUCAGCAUGCCGCGGUGAAUACGUUCCCGGGUCUUGUACACACCGA
Molecule: ribosomal RNA, 382 nt
Filed under: Bacillus subtilis
Lineage: Bacteria; Bacillati; Bacillota; Bacilli; Caryophanales; Bacillaceae
Description: bacterial SSU rRNA
Rfam family: Bacterial small subunit ribosomal RNA
Source: RNAcentral